CUCCACAAGGUGGCAAUGUAACACCACGCAUCCCACCAUUUCCGCUGGCACAUGACUCCUGGUUGAAGUUUCCCUCAUCCCAAGAGUGGUGGUGGCCGUGGUUCUGUGCACCCAUUGUGGACAUGAAGAUUUUCCGUGAUGGAAGACAACACAAGCAACAUCCUGUGGCUGUAGCACAGCACACUUCUGCCUGUUUCCAGGCUAAUAUCACUACACCUCCAUCAUCUGUGAAGCACAAAAACAGGACCAGAUGCACAAAAAAAGGACCAGAGCCCUAUGUGGGGAUGGGCUGAGGAAACAGCCUACCCAUCCACAAACACAGCCAUCUCUGCCUGAAGAUGUGGCCCUAGGACAAGAUGUAACCAGGCCAAAAACCCACUUGGGCAAGAUUCAAACAAACAUCCAGGCCAGCAGCUUCAAGGGCUCUCACUCAGAAGCAAUCAGUCAGAAAUCUCUUGGUGGCACCGACAUCAAAGGUUUUCCCCUCUGAAAAACCCACCGAAGACCAAGAACCCCAGUUCACACAAUGCUUUUGGCAUCAGUGGACUCCUCCUUACCACACAUCGAGCAACUCUGCAGCAGCAUGGCAGCUCUGCAUCCUGGCACAAUCAAGUGUGAAGGUGUAGGGACAUCAAGAAAAGCAAGCUGCAUGUUCCUCCCCCUUGGCUCGCCUCUCCUAGCACUGCGAGACACAGAAGUUGAAAGUUAAGCUUUUGAGUUACCAGCAAUUUCCACUUUGGUGCAUUAUUGCCUUUGCUGCAGUGCUUUUAUAAGGCUGUUUAUAAGACAAUAGACAAUGGGAGAAGUUGCUGGGGUUCCCAGUAGACAUAUGUUGACAAUAAACCCCUGUAACAGAGGUCA
Molecule: long non-coding RNA, 861 nt
Filed under: Parus major (Great Tit)
Lineage: Eukaryota; Metazoa; Chordata; Aves; Passeriformes; Paridae
Description: lncRNA (ENSPMJG00000009334.1)
Source: RNAcentral